CUUACGGGUGGCUGCAGUGGGGAAUUUUGGACAAUGGGGGCAACCCUGAUCCAGCCAUUCCGCGUGAGUGAAGAAGGCCUUCGGGUUGUAAAGCUCUUUUGUCCGGAGCGAAACGGGCGGCCCUAAUACGGUCGUCUACUGACGGUACCGGAAGAAUAAGCACCGGCUAACUACGUGCCAGCAGCCGCGGUAAUACGUAGGGUGCGAGCGUUACUCGGAGUUACUGCGCGUAGUGCGUGCGCAGGCGGUUGAAAUCCCCGGGCUCAACCUGGGAAUGGCAUUUGGGACUGCAAGGCUGGAGUGUGGCAGAGGGGACUAGAAUUCCUGGUGUAGCAGUGAAAUGCGUAGAUAUCAGGAGGAAUACCGAUGGCGAAGGCAGGUCCCUGGGUUAACACUGACGCUCAUGCACGAAAGCGUGGGGAGCAAACAGGAUUAGAUACCCUAGUAGUC
This 450-nucleotide ribosomal RNA is filed under the name uncultured bacterium. Its description in RNAcentral is "partial 16S ribosomal RNA". It matches the Rfam family "Bacterial small subunit ribosomal RNA", at positions 338 to 795 of the family's 1533-position model. The record is from RNAcentral.